Molecule: ribosomal RNA, 482 nt
Filed under: uncultured bacterium
Lineage: Bacteria
Description: bacterial SSU rRNA
Rfam family: Bacterial small subunit ribosomal RNA
Source: RNAcentral
AUUAACGCUGGCAGAGUGCAUAACACAUGCAAGUCGAACGAGACUACCUGAGAUUACAUCAAUUGGUAGUUUAGUGGCAGACGAGUGAGUAACACGUAAGCAACCUACCCUCGAAAGGCGGACAACAUGCCGAAAGGCAUGCUAAUACGCCGUAACAUCCCGGAAAGGCAUCUUUUUGGGAUCAGAGAUCGCAAGAUCGUUUGGGGAGGGGCUUGCGGCCCAUCAGCUAGUUGGCGGUGUAAUGGACCACCAAGGCUAUGACGGGUACCCGGCCUGAAAGGGCGGACGGGCACGAAGGCACUGAGAAACGGGCCUUACUCCUACGGGAGGCAGCAGUGGGGAAUUUUGGACAAUGGGCGAAAGCCUGAUCCAGCAACUCUGCGUGAGGGACGAAGUUCUUCGGAAUGUAAACCUCUUUUAUUGGGGACGAAAACCCGCAAGGGUCUGACGGUACCCAGUGAAUAAGCCACGGCUAACUAUGU